UAGGGAAUCUUCCGCAAUGGGCGAAAGCCUGAUGGAGCAACGCCGCGUGCGUGAUGAAGGCUUUCGGGUCGUAAAGCACUGUUGUAUGGGAAGAACAGCUAGAAUAGGAAAUGAUUUUAGUUUGACGGUACCAUACCAGAAAGGGACGGCUAAAUACGUACCAG
RNAcentral lists this ribosomal RNA (164 nucleotides) under uncultured bacterium. RNAcentral's name for it is "partial 16S rRNA". It matches the Rfam family "Bacterial small subunit ribosomal RNA", at positions 355 to 511 of the family's 1533-position model. The record is from RNAcentral.